This 21-nucleotide non-coding RNA is filed under the name Caenorhabditis elegans. The record is from RNAcentral. Lineage: Eukaryota; Metazoa; Nematoda; Chromadorea; Rhabditida; Rhabditidae.
UGGAAAAGAGGAACAAAUUUU